Molecule: long non-coding RNA, 3012 nt
Organism: Eriocheir sinensis (Chinese mitten crab)
Lineage: Eukaryota; Metazoa; Arthropoda; Malacostraca; Decapoda; Varunidae
Exons: 3
Source: RefSeq, a predicted model, not a curated record
GCUCCGUGUGAUACUUGCUUUCUUACUCCUAUAUCUUGUUCCUGUGACUAUAUACGUGUGACGACUAAUAUACAUCAGGUGGUUGACGGAAUACAGGUGACAAGGACAGGUGUUUUAUCCCAUUUUACUAACAUUUUGAGAUUUGGUAUUAGAUACCGCAUGGCUGCGUUUUUUUUUUUUUUUUUUUAGGUAAUAGAAACAAUAUCUAUUACUACAAAGCUUCUAGCCAAUUUGGAAUCAUUGUUUGCCUCUUUAAAUGUCCAGUUCAGGCCUACUAUCUUUAAUUGGGUGUGAUUGUAGAGGUCGCUAUCUUGAACUGGGUGUGAUUCUAGAGGUCGCUUUCUUGAACUGGGUGUGAUUCUAGAGGUCGCUGUCUUGAACUGGGUGUGAUUCUAGAGGUCGCUGUCUUGAACUGGGUGUGAUUCUAGAGGUCGCUGUCUUGAACUGGGUGUGAUUCUAGAGGUUGCUGUCUUGAACUGGGUGUGAUUCCAGAGGUUGCUGUCUUGAACUGGGUGUGAUUCUAGAGGUCGCUUUCUUGAACUGGGUGUGAUUCUAGAGGUCGCUAUCUUGAACUGGGUGUGAUUCUAGAGGUCGCUUUCUUGAACUGGGUGUGAUUCUAGAGGUCGCUGUCUUGAACUGGGUGUGAUUCUAGAGGUCGCUUUCUUGAACUGGGUGUGAUUCUAGUUUUACCAACCUUGCGGGGUGUGCCGAAUGAGAAAAUAAAGAAAGCUACGAGUCUUCUCGUGUUCUCGAUGUGGUGGCCGGUUCCAAACCUUUAAUCAUGUAGGAUAUCCAAAAUUAUGCCUGUUAGCAUUCUUUUUAAGUAUGUGGUUACUGAGAUCAUAAUAAUUAAAGUAAUCACUUUACGCUCCCAUAAUGACCCAAACUGUCAUCUACAUAACAUAGCCUUGCCAGGGAUAGUAACCUGUUGCUGCCAUGGGUGAUCCAGCCCCAGGGGCGUAUUUAGGACCUUGAAACAUUGGGGGCUCAGCCCAGCAUAAAAUGUUGGGUGGUUGGAGGCAAGAAAAACGCGGAGUUUUUAGGGUAAUUCUGAGGCCACUGACGUACAUUAGGGCCAAUUUGUGUGUUAUUUUAUUUACCAGUAACACCGAAAAUAUGGCACAUGUCAUAAUAAAACUUUCAAGGUCAUUAUCAAAUUAUGGUAAAAUGAAUUCUUUCAGGUACGUUUACUGCAGAGAACAAGGCACUAAAAACUGAUGAAACAAUUUAUUAUAGUAAAAUAAGGAACACCUGAAUAAGUGAGCAUCAAAUAAUUAGCAAUCAGAAACUUCCAUUUUUCACAAAUUCAUCUAGUUAUUAAAUUUAUUCUGUUACUUAGGAGAUUGAAAACUACAACUCGGCACCCUUACACUCAACUCUUAUUUCUUGCCUUGAAUUUUUUUUUGUCCAUGUCUGGAAAUUAAGCCACUAACACGUUCAAUAUAAUACCCCGUUUUUUCAUUAGGAAGAUAAACAAUUUGUAAACAAUAUUAAUAUUAAUGGUAGCCACAACUUAAGCCUGAAGAAGAAAUAACCUCACUCCAGCGGCAACAGUGAUCAAUUUAUUUUUUUGCUCUUUUCACCUUUAAAAAAAAAGGAAGAAAAAAACUCAGCCUUUAGCCUUAUAAUAGAUGUAUUGUUUAUCCCGUUAUCAUAGUCUAGGUAAUCAUAGCACGAAAGUAAAUAAUAUAGCUUGUCAGGUUUCAUCUCAUGCUGCCUACUACUCUACUACUACCUUUUAUAAAUUUAGAUGCUGGUUUUUACUCCUGCUAUGUCAUCAUUUCAUGCAGGCUGCAAGUUUAUUUAACCCUUUCACUACGGCUAGGCCAAAAUAGCGCCCUGCGCCAUAUCUGUGAUCGCCGCGUGCACCAAAUUUAGAAUGUCGCCAUUGAAUAGAACAAGUUUUCAGCCAUAACUCAACAUAAUCAUGUAUUAUAUAUGAAAACAUGCAGAAUUAAAUGGUGCACAUAAAGAAACAAGUUAAUUGAUAAUUUUGAGAUGUAAGUAUAAAUAUACAGAGAUGAAAUAACUCAUACUGGCUAAAGCGAGCCAGGAUACAGUAUGCGCGUCCUCGGAUAUGAUACGGUGCAUGUAAGGACGCAGUAUACAUGUUCUUGUGUUGAAGGGGUUAAUACAGAGUUAAAGAUGCAUUAAAAGCUUCUUUAACUGUUAUGCUUUUAACUUAUUUUUAUAUCAACGAAGUUCGAUCUCACAUAAUUGUCAAGUAACUAUAUAAUGACCACAGGAUUCGGUAAAUAAUAACUGAAUCCCUUGAAAAUUGGAAAAAUUACGGUCCCUCAUCCCACUUUGAACUGCUGAAUGCUUGAGCAAUUCGGUGCAGUGUGCACAUUUCCCAUCAUUACAGUAUACAUAACUACCAUAUUUUUUUAAGGAGUUAGUAUGCCUUGUGUGACAAACACAUUUGAGAACCACUCAGCUAGACUAUGGCUGCUUGCUAGCUGGCUAAAGAGCCUUCUGCUUCACAAACCUGAGCUAACAGACAAUGUAAAGGCAGCGGCAGUCUCCCGUCAUGACUCAUCUGCAGUUACAGCAACAGCAGGAAGUAACUCUUCCCCCGCCUGCUCUUGCCUUGCAGGCUGCAACUCAUUGCCUUGGUCCCCUUUCUAUUUGAAUAAAGCUGCUUAUAUCCAUAGCCUCACUCGGGUCUUGCUCGCCACUACCAAGAUCAACAAGCUCUCGCUCACAUGUGUGCGCAGGCCAGGAUACUCACCUUGGCGGGCACCUAGCACCACUGCCUGACUGAAGGCUGGCAGGCGAGUGGCUGUGAACCGGACAGGAACAAACCGUAUGAUCUCCGUAUGAGAUCUAUGAAAUUAAUUUCUGUUACUAACAGCUUAACAAGAAUUAACAUUUUGUAUUGGCCUGGCUGGGGCUAAAAAAAAAAAAAAAAAAAAAAAAAAAAAAAAAAAAAAAGAGGAGAUCCAGGGCUAUACUUAAAACAUUCGGGGCUAUAGCCCUGAAAGCCCAGGCCUAACUACGCCACUGUCCCAC